UUUGCAUAUCAUGUACAUGUGAGUCUUGUAUUGAGCCUUAUUGCAUCUUGUUUGUACCUUUGAUUGGCUCUUGUGAGAGAUUAAUGGAUUAUUUCAUUAUGGGGGAGUGAUGUGCUUUGCACACCUCACGAUCCUAUAAAUAUGUAUACAUGGGGAAUACCACUUAGUAUUGAUAUUUCAAGAUUAUCUAGCUUCUAUG
RNAcentral lists this long non-coding RNA (199 nucleotides) under Hordeum vulgare. Its description in RNAcentral is "long non-coding RNA (HVUL_LNC003751)". Lineage: Eukaryota; Viridiplantae; Streptophyta; Magnoliopsida; Poales; Poaceae. The record is from RNAcentral.